This 140-nucleotide unclassified non-coding RNA is filed under the name uncultured Oidiodendron. RNAcentral's name for it is "partial internal transcribed spacer 2". The record is from RNAcentral. Lineage: Eukaryota; Fungi; Ascomycota; Leotiomycetes; Myxotrichaceae.
CAACCCUCAAGCUCCGCUUGGUGUUGGGCCCUGCCCGCGCGGCCGGCCCCAAAGACAGUGGCGGCGCCGUCUGGCUCUAAGCGUAGUACAACUCUCGCUCUGGAGCCCGGCGGUGUCCUGCCAGAACCCCAAACUUCUAU